UUAUAAAUUAUUUAUAAGAGAUAAUAACUUCUUCUCUUACUUUAUAAAAUCAUUUAUUAGGAUUUAUGAAGUUAUUUAUAAUGACUUUAAAUUUCAGUGAAAUUAUUUAAUUAACUUGAGGAUAUUCCGACCACAUGGAAAGACUUAGACUAAUCUCUAAGUGAAGGUGCAACUCAUGAACAAAAAUAUUUUUCCGGUAUUUAGAUGUGCCGAAAAUAAAGGUACAUAUCCAUGUUGAAGUCCAUGAAUAAUGAGACUUAGUUUCACGCAGCAUGUCGAUCGAACCAGUUAGCAUUUCAAAUUAUUCUUCUUCCCACUC
Molecule: long non-coding RNA, 319 nt
Filed under: Brassica napus (rape)
Lineage: Eukaryota; Viridiplantae; Streptophyta; Magnoliopsida; Brassicales; Brassicaceae
Description: long non-coding RNA (BNAP_LNC010147)
Source: RNAcentral